This 498-nucleotide ribosomal RNA is filed under the name uncultured bacterium. RNAcentral's name for it is "partial 16S ribosomal RNA". It matches the Rfam family "Bacterial small subunit ribosomal RNA", at positions 28 to 508 of the family's 1533-position model. The record is from RNAcentral.
GAUGAACGCUGGCGGCGUGCCUAAUACAUGCAAGUCGAGCGAACGGACGAGAAGCUUGCUUCUCUGAUGUUAGCGGCGGACGGGUGAGUAACACGUGGAUAACCUACCUAUAAGACUGGGAUAACUUCGGGAAACCGGAGCUAAUACCGGAUAAUAUUUUGAACCGCAUGGUUCAAAAGUGAAAGACGGUCUUGCUGUCACUUAUAGAUGGAUCCGCUCUGCAUUAGCUAGUCGGUAAGGUAACGGCUUACCAAGGCAACGAUGCAUAGCCGACCUGAGAGGGUGAUCGGCCACACUGGAACUGAGACACGGUCCAGACUCCUACGGGAGGCAGCAGUAGGGAAUCUUCCGCAAUGGGCGAAAGCCUGACGGAGCAACGCCGCGUGAGUGAUGAAGGUCUUCGGAUCGUAAAACUCUGUUAUUAGGGAAGAACAUAUGUGUAAGUAACUGUGCACAUCUUGACGGUACCUAAUCAGAAAGCCACGGCUAACUACGUGC